Molecule: ribosomal RNA, 443 nt
Filed under: uncultured bacterium
Lineage: Bacteria
Description: partial 16S ribosomal RNA
Rfam family: Bacterial small subunit ribosomal RNA
Source: RNAcentral
CCUACGUGUGGCAGCAGUGGGGAAUAUUGGGCAAUGGAGGCAACUCUGACCCAGCAACGCCGCGUGAAUGAUGAAGGUCUUCGGAUUGUAAAGUUCUUUUCUAAGGGAAGAAGAAAGUGACGGUACCUUAGGAAUAAGCAUCGGAUAACUAAGUGCCAGCAGCCGCGGAAAUACGUAGGAGGCAAGCGGUAUCCGGAAUGACUGGGCGUAAAGGGUGCGUAGGGGGUUAGACAAGUUGGUAGCUUAACUCCGGAGUGCAACUUCGGAACUACUACAAAAACUGUUGGACUCGAGUGCGGGAAGGGCAACUGGAAUUGCUAGUGUAGCGGUGGAAUGCGUAGAUAUUAGGAAGAACACCGGUGGCGAAGGCGAGUUGCUGGACUGUAACUGACACUGAGGCACGAAAGCGUGGGGAGCGAACAGGAUUAGAUACCCCAGUAGUC